Gorilla gorilla gorilla (western lowland gorilla) is the source of this 451-nucleotide long non-coding RNA. RefSeq lists it as uncharacterized. NCBI's taxonomy places the organism in Eukaryota, Metazoa, Chordata, Mammalia, Primates, Hominidae. The record is from RefSeq and is a predicted model, not a curated record. The transcript has 2 exons.
UCCUGAAUCUUCUCCUGUUCUUUAGGCAGCAGCAGCUCCAAGGGUGAACUGUUGCUCAGCAGAGAAAUGGCAGGAAAAAAUAGGACAUUCGCUUCUGGCCUUAGUCCUGUUGGAACACAAAAAGUGGAGUCUGCAAUGCUGUUGGAGACUCAACAGGUCAAAUACAUCAGUAAUGGGCAUGGUAUGGCUGGGAUCAUACGGAGACAGUCCUUAGAGCACUGAAAAUGUGAUCAUCCUGAAUCCCAUAAGGAUCCUUAUGAGGUUAGAAGGGACAAUGUGGCUCCACUUUGACGACUGACAGCAGUUGCUUUGUCCUCCCAUAGGUAUAAGGGGAAAAUCUUUUGCAGAAUUCACUCAGCAAGUCAAUCAACAAGAAGACACAGAUCCUUGGGGAACAAGGGGUGCUUUCCUCACAGAAAGUUGUUUCCAAUAAACCAAUUUCUGCUGCUUA